GCCGCCACCGCCUCAGGGAAGAGGAAGGAGGCCGCGGCUUCGCGUCCCGCCUCUCGCCUGGCUGGCCGUGGGGGGCCUGGACGCAGUGGCCUCCCGAAUCUCCCAGGACCCUAAUAUCGCCCGAGGAUGCUGGGAGGAACGCUGAGCCGACCUCUCCGUUAGGCUGAAGAUUGCACAAACCAUGCUAAUGGCCAGCAUGGAUGGAGGGAGCGUGUGAGAUGUGUGGGGCAGCGUGCUGCAUCUCAGCCAACUCCAGGAGCCAGUUGAUGUGAUGGACUACCUUAAUUGAUUUUUGAAUGUUGAGCCAGCCUUAUGCAUGUGGGAUAAACCCCUGUUGAUCAUGGCUGGCUGGAGUGCAGUGGUGCAAUCAUGGCUCACUGCAACCUCAAAUUCCUGGGCUCAAGGGAUCCUCCUGCCUCAGCCUCCCAAGUAGCUAGGACUACAGUUCCUGCUGGAAUCUUGCUGUUGCCCAUUCAAGUCUGGUGGUUCCUGUGUGUUGGGGUGGCCUUGCUUCUCCUGCUCUUAGCUCUGGAGGAGCCCUCGGCUGGUGCUGCAGUGAAUCUGUCAGAGUCGUCCUAACCAGAGUGCCCCCAUCCUGAAUAGAGGCUGGAUAAAGCCAAACCUGCUGGGUUAUAGUCCCAGGGGAUUGGGCAGUCCUGGUCACAAGAUAUUUAAGGUUGAGGGAAUAAGUUAAUGAUGCUAAGUAAAUAAAGACCCUGAAUUCUUUCCCGUGAGAGAUUCAAGAACUCACUCUUGGCAUCUGGGAUAAGACCCUUUUUCCGGUAACAAACCCCUGCCCUGGCCCUUUCUUCCUUCUGGAAAACUUAAAAAAAAAAUAGGCCUCAAAAAGACUGCAUUAAUCUGAGAAACUGCUGAAUAUGGCUACUAAGAGAAGCUGGGAUUUUCUGAUUUUUAAUGUCGGUUUCAAAGAGAGCAGGUAUACUUUGCAGGAGGGAACCAUGCUAGCUGCAGAAUCAUGGACGAGCUGGACCACAAGUUUUUACACAGUGUGCAUGCUUUUGUUCUCCUGUCAACUUCUGUUGUUUUCCUGUCAACUUCUGUUGUUUUCAUCAAAAGCCAUCAACCCGCCUCAGCCAGGGCAUCAUAAUGUACAUGCAACAGAGUGUUCCAAGAAACUUUCAGCUGAGACCCUAAGACCCUGGACAUGCAAUGCCAGAGUGAAGUGUGAGGACCACAGCUGUGCAGGACAUGCAGAAAGGAGGGGCAGAGAGCCAAUGAGAUGAUGUCCCACGACUCACCUGUGUCAGUGGAGACCGAAGGAGACUUGGAGGGUGCUUUUGGAGAGAACUGCUGAUGUUUUGUGAGCCUCACUCUCUCUGUGUGUGGAAAUGCUGGAGGAUGAAACCGUCUAAACUCUCCUGAAGUCCCGGGAAUGGAGUUUUAAUGGUAAUGUGUGAUGGGAUGUGUGUUCUCUUAUGGUAUGGGAGACACAGAGGACUCACAGAGGACUGGCCUCUGCCUCUUGACCAGGGAUCAGGAGAGAUGGGAACUGAGCUGGUCAGCUGCUCUUCAGAGCUGGUCGAGGAGAGAUUUCUGCUGUGCUGGGAGGGCCUAAAAACAUGCAUGGAUGGAGCCCAAGGACCAGGUGCAGAUCUUAUGCAAGAAUGAACCAGGGGGUGACUUAGGUCCACCAAAAGACUGCCCAGAGGGACAAAAGGCUAUCAGUGAAAAGAAUCCACAGAUGAACUGCCAGUUCCUCAGGGCUGAGGCAAGAUCUUAAUUUUGAGUAGGAGCAGAGUGUAUUACCUACAACAAGGAUACCACAGAUGAGAAAACCCUAGUUUUAAACCUGCUACAUCCAAAGAGAGCAAUGCAACUCUGGCAGUAGCAAAAAUGUUGUGCCUCUCCUUUCCUCACUCCUAAUUUCCCAUCCCAGAGAAGGGUCAGAAACCAUCUUCUGCAAGAUGGGAGGAAGGGUAGCAGCCAGACUGCAAAAAGGGAGAAGAAACCAGCUACCUCUUGCUGUUCUCAGUGGCAGACUCCCCACCUGCAACAGGUCAGGUCUGUUACUGGAGAGAAAAGACAGGGCCUGUCUUGAGAUGCACCUUGUUUGCCCACGGGGGAAACGUGCUUUGGAAAGUGCUGGACACCAUGGCUGUGCAGGCCCAAGAAGGUGAUGUAUUUAGUGUGCUUCAAGAAAACUAACAUUUUCAGAGGGAGCAAGUUACUUAUUAUUGGUUACCCUUAAUAUAUACCAUCUAGAUUAAGCAUAUUUAUUUCCAAAUUGUUCGCUAAGGUACAGGUCCUUGCCUUAGUCAGUCUGAGCUGCUGUAACAAAUUACCAUAGACUGAGUUGUUCAUUAACAACAAAGUAUUUCUCAUGGUUCUGGAGGCUGGAAGUCUGAGGUCAGGGUGCCAGCAUGGUUGGGCUUCGGUGAGGGCUCUCGUCUUGGUUUACAGACAGCUAGACAGCUGUCUGUAUCCUCACAUGGCAGAGAGAGACAAAGGUUGCAAGCACUCUGCUGUCUCUUCUUAUAAGGGCACUAAUUCCAUCGCAAGGGCUCCACCCUCAUGACUAAUCAUUUCCCAAAGGCGCUGCCUCCUAAAAUCACAUUGGGUGUUAGGAUUUCAACAUAUGAAUUUGAGGGGGACUCAAACCUUCAGACCAUAACAGUUCAUGGCUAAGAUUAUAAAUGACCAAAGCCCAGUGUCACCAAUAAUCCAGCUCUAGAAAGUGUAGUAAUGGAAACGACUUCAUCCCCAUGAGAUGGAAACAGUUAGAAGGAUGAAUGACUCAAGCCUUGACAAGGAUAUGGAGAGACAGGGUGUUGCUAAUGGGAGUGCAACUGGUACAGUUAUUCUGGAAAACCAUCCGUUUCUUUGUGAACUCAAGUGUGCAUCUGUCUUCUGACCCAACAGUCCCACUCUUGAAGUUGCGCAAUGUGUAGCUUUUACAACUAUAAGCGGUGGCCCUGAUUCAAGACCACAGAAUGAGCCACUGGAACAUCUGGGAUGAGGACCUCCUGCUUGCCAGGUAGUUGAAAGACCUAUGUUCGUCAUAGCAACAGGGCCUGGAAAAGAGAAGAAAUACAGCCUUUGUAUUUCUGGGAUUGAGAAGGAAAGCAGUCAUGCCACUGAGAAUCUCUGGGUCUGGAAAGGGGGUUGGUCAUUGUGGAUUCCAUGAAGGCUCUGCCGGAAGAAUCUGGAAGGACUGAGUCUUCAGAGCCUCAGCCCUGGGAGGCGGAGUGACAGGGACCUAUACCGAUUGAGGACAGAGAGGAAAAGGUCCCUGCUGAGCAUUUCUCUUUUGAAAGACCCUCUGGCUGCAGCCUGGAUGAGCAAUGCUGACAGGUGAUUCGCAGUACUGGCUGGCAGUGUAAACCAAGUUAGCAAAAUAGAAGCAGCAGCCUGGGAGAAAACAGGGCUUGGAAGAAGACUGUGGUGGAGACUUCCAGGACUCCUAGAUGAUCCAGGAGGACAAGAAAGUGCAAGUUUGGGAUCCUGGAAUUCCUGCCAAUCUGCAGGUGGAGGCUUAAGCCAGUACUGAUUUAAUCUGAAACCUAACGUGAAUGAAACAGCUUGCACAGCGCAGCAAGCGGCAGGAGCAGUGUCUCCAUGCCAAGCUCACCAACAUGUCCAUUUCCUUACUGG
Homo sapiens (human) is the source of this 3612-nucleotide long non-coding RNA. Ensembl annotates it as GMDS divergent transcript. Its record names the gene GMDS-DT. The record is from Ensembl. NCBI's taxonomy places the organism in Eukaryota, Metazoa, Chordata, Mammalia, Primates, Hominidae.